RNAcentral lists this ribosomal RNA (488 nucleotides) under uncultured bacterium. Its description in RNAcentral is "partial 16S ribosomal RNA". It matches the Rfam family "Bacterial small subunit ribosomal RNA", at positions 28 to 507 of the family's 1533-position model. The record is from RNAcentral.
GACGAACGCUGGCGGCGUGCUUAACACAUGCAAGUCGAACGCGCCUGUCCUCUGGGUUUCUGGGGGGUGGGUGAGUGGCGCACGGGUGAGUAACACGUGAGUAACCUGCCCCCUUCUUCGGGAUAACGGUCUGAAAGGGCUGCUAAUACCGGGUAUUCACUGGUCUCCGCAUGGGGUCUGGUGGAAAGGUUUUUUUCUGGUGGGGGAUGGGCUCGCGGCCUAUCAGCUUGUUGGUGGGGUGAUGGCCCACCAAGGCUUUGACGGGUAGCCGGCCUGAGAGGGUGACCGGGAACAUUGGGACUGAGAUACGGCCCAGACUCCGACGGGAGGCAGCAGUGGGGAAUAUUGCACAAUGGGCGCAAGCCUGAUGCAGCGACGCCGCGUGAGGGAUGGAGGCCUUCGGGUUGUGAACCUCUUUCGCCCGUGGUCAAGCCGCGACGUGGGUCGUGGUGAGGGUAGUGGGUAAAGAAGCGCCGGCUAACUACGUG